CGGCCGGGAACUCAAAGGAGACUGCCAGUGAUAAACUGGAGGAAGGUGGGGAUGACGUCAAGUCAUCAUGGCCCUUACGACCAGGGCUACACACGUGCUACAAUGGCGCAUACAAAGAGAAGCGACCUCGCGAGAGCAAGCGGACCUCAUAAAGUGCGUCGUAGUCCGGAUUGGAGUCUGCAACUCGACUCCAUGAAGUCGGAAUCGCUAGUAAUCGUGGAUCAGAAUGCCACGGUGAAUACGUUCCCGGGCCUUGUACACACCGCCCGUCACACCAUGGGAGUGAGUUGCAAAAGAAGUAGGUAGCUUAACCUUCGGGAGGGCGCUUACCACUUUGUGAUUCAUGACUGGGGUGAAGUCGUAACAAGGUAACCGUAGGGGAACCUGCGGUUGGAUCACCUCCUUACCUUAAAGAAGC
Molecule: ribosomal RNA, 418 nt
Filed under: Escherichia coli
Lineage: Bacteria; Pseudomonadati; Pseudomonadota; Gammaproteobacteria; Enterobacterales; Enterobacteriaceae
Description: bacterial SSU rRNA
Rfam family: Bacterial small subunit ribosomal RNA
Source: RNAcentral